RNAcentral lists this microRNA precursor (96 nucleotides) under Prolemur simus (greater bamboo lemur). RNAcentral describes it as "microRNA 181c (ENSPSMG00000001067.1)". The stretch from base 7 to 87 matches the Rfam family "mir-181 microRNA precursor family". From Rfam's summary of the family: In this case the mature sequence comes from the 5' arm of the precursor. The extents of the hairpin precursors are not generally known and are estimated based on hairpin prediction. The products are thought to have regulatory roles through complementarity to mRNA. The record is from RNAcentral. Lineage: Eukaryota; Metazoa; Chordata; Mammalia; Primates; Lemuridae.
UGCCAAGGGUUUGGGGGAACAUUCAACCUGUCGGUGAGUUUGGGCAGCUCAGACAAACCAUCGACCGUUGAGUGGACCCCGAGGCCUGGAACUGCC